CAGAGUUGCAAAACUCCCAACCAUUGUGAACGUUACCUGUACCGUUGCUUCGGCGGGCGGCUCCCUCGGGGGCCGCAACCCUUACGGGUGCCCGCCGGAGGACAUCAACUCUUUGUUUUUUAGGCCUCUCUGAGUAAUCAUACAAAUAAGUUA
This 153-nucleotide unclassified non-coding RNA is filed under the name uncultured Cercophora. RNAcentral's name for it is "sequence contains ITS1". Lineage: Eukaryota; Fungi; Ascomycota; Sordariomycetes; Sordariales; Lasiosphaeriaceae. The record is from RNAcentral.